This 502-nucleotide ribosomal RNA is filed under the name uncultured bacterium. Its description in RNAcentral is "bacterial SSU rRNA". It matches the Rfam family "Bacterial small subunit ribosomal RNA", at positions 28 to 526 of the family's 1533-position model. The record is from RNAcentral.
GAUGAACGCUAGCGGCAGGCCUCAUACAUGCAAGUCGAGGGGCAGCAGGACACUUCGGUGUUGCUGGCGACCGGCGAACGGGUGCGUAACACGUAUGCAAUCUACCUCGUACUGGGGAAUAGCUCUUGGAAACGAGAAUUAAUACCCCAUAUUAUCCUAUCAGCACAUGCUGUUGGGAGGAAAGCCCCGGCGGUACGAGAUGAGCAUGCGUCCCAUUAGCUAGUUGGUAAGGUAACGGCUUACCAAGGCUACGAUGGGUAGGGGUUCUGAGAGGAAGAUCCCCCACACUGGCACUGAGACACGGGCCAGACUCCUACGGGAGGCAGCAGUAGGGAAUAUUGGUCAAUGGGCGCAAGCCUGAACCAGCCAUGCCGCGUGCAGGAUGAAGGCCCUCAGGGUUGUAAACUGCUUUUUUAUGGGAACAAAAAGCCCUUGCGAGGGUCAUUGAGGGUACCGUAAGAAUAAGCACCGGCUAACUCCGUGCCAGCCGCCGCCGUAAUAC